GGGAUGCCUUAGUACGGCGAGUGAAGCGGCAAAAGCUCAAAUUUGAAAUCUGGUACCUUCGGUGCCCGAGUGAAAUUUGUAGAAGGUAACUUUGGGGCUGGUCCUUGUCUUUGUUCCUUGGAACAGGACGUCAUAGAGGGUGAGAAUCCCGUGUGGCGAGGAUCCCAGUUCUUUGUAAAGUGCUUUCGAAGAGUCGAGUUGUUUGGGAAUGCAGCUCUAAGUGGGUGGUAAAUUCCAUCUAAAGCUAAAUAUUGGCGAGAGACCGAUAGCGAACAAGUACAGUGAUGGAAAGAUGAAAAGAACUUUGAAAAGAGAGUGAAAAAGUACGUGAAAUUGUUGAAAGGGAAGGGCAUUUGAUCAGACAUGGUGUUUUGCGCCCUCUGCUCCUUGUGGGUGGGGGAAUCUCGCAGCUCACUGGGCCAGCAUCAGUUUUGGCGGCAGGAUAAAUCUGCAGGAAUGUAGCUUGCCUCGGUAAGUGUUAUAUCCUGUAGAAAUACUGCCAGCUGGGACUGAGGACUGCGACUUUACGUCAAGGAUGCUGGCAUAAUGGUUAUAUGCCGCCCGUCUUGAAACAACGGACC
This 581-nucleotide ribosomal RNA is filed under the name Torulaspora delbrueckii. RNAcentral describes it as "LSU rRNA". It matches the Rfam family "Eukaryotic large subunit ribosomal RNA", at positions 72 to 667 of the family's 3401-position model. The record is from RNAcentral. Lineage: Eukaryota; Fungi; Ascomycota; Saccharomycetes; Saccharomycetales; Saccharomycetaceae.